AAAACUCAUAAUAAUCUCCAAUAGGAAUAAUAGAUUUACUCCACUUGUAUUUGAUACUUAACCACUACUGGAAAAGAAAACUAUUAUUUUAUUGGCUCUAUAAGUUUUGUAUAUAUUCCCACCAGUUCGUUUUAACUUUUCUAAGUGGUGUUUUAAAAUUGUUUUAGUUUUAUUUUAAGUGAUAUUUUUAAAUUUCUAUAUAAAAAUAAAUUUAAUUUGAUAUUUAAGACCAUUUAUAUUCUGUCGUAUAAUUUUUCAUUAAUUGUAACUAUUGUUGUUUUUAGGUAAACAAAAUAAAUUGGAUAAAAAUUCGUAAUUUUUCAAUUGGAGUGUAAAACUUUAAAAGCUAAUUCAGGGAGUAUAUGCUUAUACCUUUAACUUUGUAUUUUCCUUACUAUAAUCAUUAGUGUGCCAAACAAAAGAAUAUUUUGAAAUUUUAUAAAAACCAAGUCUAAAAUAUCCGACUUUAGUAUACUGUUCAAAAACUUUACUAAUUCGUUUAAUUAAAACCGACAGUUUAUAUAUAAUUUUAAAAUUAGUUAUGUCAUAGAUCUGACUGGAUAUCCAAAAUGAAAGAGAUGGCGAUGGAUAACUUAAUUAAUCUUUAUUGAUUUGGCGUCGUCAAAUUAGGGAGAUUAGCCCGAUUGACAUAUGUGGCCGACAUACCAAUAUAAUAGCAUGUGUCGAUAAUAUAGCAAACUAUUAUUAUCAUCUGUGGUGUCGAAACAUAAUACGCUAAGCUUGGGCUGUUAAGUGUUGUUACUCGAGCCUUGAAAAAAAUUAAAUAGAUUAGCGCUAAAUGUACAAGAAAAUGAAAAGGUUACGAAACGAAUAUUUAAGUGGGCCUGAACUGGACAAUGCCCUCCAGUGCCUGAUUGAGUUAUCGUACUCUUAGGACAGGGACAAGUAUUGACUACAAAAACCCUGGGAAGAGCUGGGUCUUGAAUUCGGGUGAGCUUAUCCCUCUCCUCUUUGAUUAGUGUGAAUGUUAAGGAUAAUUUGGAUGAUGCUUUGAUCAAUGAUUCUCUCUACGUUGGAAAAUAAAAUGUGUAUAGAGUUCUCUCUCUUCACUGAUUAAACUAAGAAUGGUAAAACUUUGAUUUGAUUUGUAGGGGUGGUUUAGAGCUGUUCUGUGAUUCUCAAAAGAUCCAUAGAGUAAACGUUGAUUUGCCUCAUGGAGAAGAUGAUUUAACAAUGAAGCAUUUGCUUUCAUGGGUUCGUUCAAAUCUGAUCAAAGAGAGAUACUGUGAGACCUGGUGUUCUUGUGUUAGUGAAUGACUGUGAUUGGGAGCUAAGCGGUCAGCUCGAGACCACAAUCAAAGAGUAAGAU
This is a long non-coding RNA of Brassica rapa (field mustard), 1330 nucleotides long. RefSeq lists it as uncharacterized. Lineage: Eukaryota; Viridiplantae; Streptophyta; Magnoliopsida; Brassicales; Brassicaceae. The record is from RefSeq and is a predicted model, not a curated record.